RNAcentral lists this ribosomal RNA (253 nucleotides) under uncultured bacterium. RNAcentral describes it as "partial 16S ribosomal RNA". It matches the Rfam family "Bacterial small subunit ribosomal RNA", at positions 524 to 776 of the family's 1533-position model. The record is from RNAcentral.
UACAGAGGUCCCAAGCGUUGUUCGGAUUCACUGGGCGUAAAGGGUGCGUAGGCGGUCGGGUAAGUCUGAUGUGAAAUCUCACAGCUUAACUGUGAAACUGCAUUGGAUACUAUUCGGCUUGAGAGUUGGAGGGGGGACUGGAAUUCUUGGUGUAGCAGUGAAAUGCGUAGAUAUCAAGAGGAACACCAGUGGCGAAGGCGAGUCCCUGGACAACUGCUGACGCUGAGGCACGAAAGCUAGGGGAGCAAACAGG